CUUGGUCAUUUAGAGGAAGUAAAAGUCGUAACAAGGUUUCCGUAGGUGAACCUGCGGAAGGAUCAUUAUCGAAUGAAACUAGAGUCGGUUGUCGCUGGCCCCUUAGCUGGGGCAUGUGCACGCCUUCUCUAUUCAUCCACAUACACACUUGUGAACUCGUGAGACGGAUAGUAGUCCCUCCGGGGGCGAGCUCCGUCUGCUAUACAUAAACUCCAGUAUAUUAAUCUGAAUGUAAUCUGAUGUAACACAUCUUUGAACUAAGUUUCAACAACGGAUCUCUUGGCUCUCGCACCGAUGAAGAACGCAGCGAAAUGCGAUAAGUAAUGUGAAUUGCAGAAUUCAGUGAAUCAUCGAAUCUUUGAACGCACCUUGCGCUCCUUGGUAUUCCUCGGAGCAUGCCUGUUUGAGUAUCAUGAAACCCUCAAAAUAAGUCUUUUGUUUAUUCGAUCGAUUUUAUUUUGGAUUUGGAGGUCUGCAGAUUCACGUCUGCUCCUCUUAAAUUUAUUAGCUGGAUCUAGACGAACUCGGUUCCACUCGGCGUGAUAAGUAUCACUCGCUGAGGACACUGUAAAAGGUGGCCGGGGUUGUCCAAGAACCGCUUCUAAUAGUCUAUUCACUUGAACAAAUUUAUUUAUGAUCUGAUCUCAAAUCAGGUAGGACUACCCGCUGAACUUAAGCAUAUCAAUAAGCGGAGGA
This 696-nucleotide ribosomal RNA is filed under the name uncultured Rhizoctonia. RNAcentral's name for it is "eukaryotic LSU rRNA". The stretch from base 260 to 413 matches the Rfam family "5.8S ribosomal RNA". The record is from RNAcentral. Lineage: Eukaryota; Fungi; Basidiomycota.